This 752-nucleotide ribosomal RNA is filed under the name uncultured bacterium. RNAcentral describes it as "bacterial SSU rRNA". It matches the Rfam family "Bacterial small subunit ribosomal RNA", at positions 441 to 1195 of the family's 1533-position model. The record is from RNAcentral.
GAGAAGGAAGCAAAUAACUUUCUAAUUUGAGGGUACCUGGUAAAGAAGCACCGGCUAACUCCGUGCCAGCAGCUGCGGUAAUACGGAGGGUGCAAGCAUUAAUCGGAAUUAUUGGGCGGAAAGGGCGCGUAGGCGGAACUGUAAGUCAGAUGUGAAAUACCGAAGCUUAACUUCGGUGCUGCAUUUGAAACUACAGAUCUGGAGGAUAGACGGAGAAAACGGAAUUCCACAUGUAGCGGUGAAAUGCGUGGAUAUGUGGAAGAACACCUGUGGCGAAAGCGGUUUUCUAGUUUAUUCCUGACGCUGAGGCGCGAGAGCAAGGGGAGCAAACAGGAUUAGAUACCCUGGUAGUCCUUGCCGUAAACGAUGUAUACUUGAUGUAGUUGGACUCAACCCCGACUGUGUCGUAGCUAACGCGAUAAGUAUACCGCCUGAGGAGUACGCUCGCAAGGGUGAAACUCAAAAGAAUUGACGGGGGCCCGCACAAGCAGUGGAGCAUGUGGUUUAAUUCGAUGCAACGCGCAGAACCUUACCCAGGCUCAAAGUGUAGGGGACAACUCCUGAAAGGGAGCCUCUCGUAAGAGUCGCUAUACAGGUGCUGCAUGGCUGUCGUCAGCUCGUGCCGUGAGGUGUUGGGUUAAGUCCCGCAACGAGCGCAACCCUUGUCACUAGUUGCCAGCAAUUCGGUUGGGAACUCUAGUGAGACUGCCUAGGUUAACUAGGAGGAAGGCGAGGAUGACGUCAAGCCCGCA